Molecule: long non-coding RNA, 400 nt
Organism: Gossypium arboreum
Lineage: Eukaryota; Viridiplantae; Streptophyta; Magnoliopsida; Malvales; Malvaceae
Exons: 2
Source: RefSeq, a predicted model, not a curated record
CUUGUCGCACAGAUAAAAAUUGAAAAGAGAGGGUUUUAAGCUUGAAGCGAAAAUGGAAGACUGUGCAUGGAGGUUACAUGGGAAGUCGAGAAGGGAAUGGGGUUUCGAAAAGUGGAAAUGGGAACAGUGGGGGCAGAUUGGGGAAGAUGGAUGAUAGCUGGCAACAGGCUGGAGUCAAUUGCCAGAAUGGAUGGAACGGAAGCUGACGGUAAGGUCAAAUUUCAUAUAAAGUCCUUGUUUUAUGCAUUUAUUUUAGAUUUAGUCUCUCUACUAUAAUUUGAUCAUUUCUAUUUUCGAAAAAUUUAUUUUCAGUCCCCAUGUUAUUUUUCAUGAAUUCUGUGAAAUAAUUUAACAUGAUUUAUUUUUUAAACAUGUAAUGACAUGAUAUAUAUUCUUUGAC